GUCGGUGCCAUUUAUUUUCAGAGGCUGUCAAGGCUGGUUUCAGCAUUUAAAAGAAAGGAGGAUAAAACGCAUUUGCAUUUCUCCCCCACUCUCGCUGCGCGCUCGCCGGCGCUCCCCCUCGUUCCCUGCGCAGCUCGCGGGUCGGGCGUUGGCGGGGAGGGGGAGGCCAGAGGCUUUUCAAGGCGCUGGGGGCUCCGGCCGGCCCGGUGGGGGCCUCCCCCCGCCAGAGUCAGGGGUGUCGGGCGAUUCCGGGGUGGGGGCCCGAGUCUGGUCCAGCGGGGCUCUGGGUGGCAGAGGGGGGAAGGUUAAGCGGGGCUGCUGGCUUGGGGAAUUUGGGGCCGUCCGCGGGGCUCUCCUCGGGCUCCAAGCUUUCACCCCAGAAAACAGCCCUGAACCCCAAAUUUGCUCCAGCCCCAGGGGGCCCUACCUGCCCUUCCUGGCUUCCCCAGUGGAAAUCUAAGGUACUGGAGGCUUCCAGGGGAGCCAGGGCACCCCUAGGACAACCCCCUCUCUCUGCAGAUGGGGAAACUGAGGCCUGGAAACAGAGAACGGUGGGACCAAGGUCACAUGAUGGCGGAAGGAGGACAAGGAAGGAGGCUGACUGCGUAUCCAGCACGUGUUCCGUGCCAAGCCUGUGCAGGGGCCAAGGACCGGGGUCUCUGGACAGCGCCGGUUGCUGGGUCCCACGCUGGGCGACAGGGCCUUUGCAAUCAGGCCGACAGGGUUUGAACCCUUGCCGCGGCACUUUCCAGAUGGCCUUGGCCACUGUCCCCUCUCUGACCUUCAGAUGGAGCCCAUGGCACCUCCGGAGGGGGUGUGUGCUUCCAGGACCAAAUCCACUUGUGCGUGGUUAGGCACGAGGUGGGGGGAGGCGGCUCAGCCACCGGGACCUGUCCUGCCUCCACCCUCUGUGCAACCCCUUUCCUUGCCUUUUGUCUCUGUUGCUUUUGGGGGGUGAUUAGCCGCUAGCUCAGCGGCUAGAGGAUUCUCUCCCGGAAAAGGCUCCGGAGUUGAGGCCCAGACCCCCAGGGCAAGACGGAAUCUGCUCCCCAGGGCACUAACUGAGACUCGGUUCCCUCACUGGUAAAAUGAGAAAACUCACUUAUGGUCAGGGGUCCCCGAGUUAAUGCCAGUGAAUUCCUUGGCAGAGCAUCAAGCACUUGGAGAAGCCCCCACCCCCGGUCAUUGUGAUGAUGGUUUGUUUGUUUGUUUGUUUGUUUUGAGACGGAGUCUCGCUCUGUCGCCCAGGCUGGAGUGCAGUGGCGCGAUCUCGGCUCACUGCAAGCUCUGCCUCCCGGGUUCACGCCAUUCAGGGGAGUGGCGCCGAGACACCGUGUAGCGCCCAUGCCAAGGAGGAAGCGAGACAGCAGGAGCGGAGGAAAGAACCCCGGGCUGUGUUGAGGAAGCCUCCUACUUUUGCCUGAAGUGAGGUCUCCUAUAGAGAGAAGCGUUGACUGGGGACACUCGCUGCUUGCGUUUUGCUGGUAG
Molecule: long non-coding RNA, 1488 nt
Filed under: Homo sapiens (human)
Lineage: Eukaryota; Metazoa; Chordata; Mammalia; Primates; Hominidae
Description: HSALNT0155947
Source: RNAcentral